This 460-nucleotide ribosomal RNA is filed under the name uncultured bacterium. RNAcentral's name for it is "partial 16S ribosomal RNA". It matches the Rfam family "Bacterial small subunit ribosomal RNA", at positions 338 to 795 of the family's 1533-position model. The record is from RNAcentral.
CCUCCGGUGAGCAGCAGUGAGGAAUAUUGGUCAAUGGACGAGAGUCUGAACCAGCCAAGUAGCGUGAAGGAUGACUGCCCUAUGGGUUGUAAACUUCUUUUAUAAAGGGAUAAAACGAGUCACGUGUGCCUUUUUGCAUGUACUUUAUGAAUAAGGAUCGGCUAAAUCCGUGCCAGCAGCCGCGGUAAUACGGAGGAUCCGAGCGUUAUCCGGAUUUAUUGGGUUUAAAGGGAGCGUAGAUGGGUUGUUAAGCCUGUUGUGAAAGUUCGCGGCUCAACCGUAAAAUUGCGAUUGAUACUGGCAGUCUUGAGUACAGUUGAGGUAGGCGGAAUUCGUGGUGUAGCGGUGAAAUGCUUAGAUAUCACGAAGAACCCCGAUUGCGAAGGCAGCUUACGAAACUGUGACUGACAUUGAUGCUCGAAGGUGUGGGUAUCGAACAGGAUUAGAUACCCUUGUAGUC